GCCUUCAGUAACCAUGGAUUCAUUCUUACUUUCUUUGAAUUGUGUCCAAGGAGAGAGAGAGAGAGAGAGAGAGAGAGAGAGAGAGAGAGAGAGAGAGAGAGAGAGAGAGAGAGAUUUUCUUUGUUUGGGCUUCAUACUGUUUUAGGUUCAUUCUGGCUUCUGACCAGUUCCUGUAGCCAGGAAAUUGACCCACAUGAAUUGACUUGACCUUAAUCAUGUUUGUUUUAUAGCUAGGGAUGCACUACCAAAAAGAAAUUGAGGUUAUUUCACCUAAAAAUGUGUAAGCAAACGAGGGUGGCAAAACCUAAAGUUUCUUUAUUUAGUACUCAACAAACAUUGACUGAGUGCCUACUAUGGACUAAACACAGUUCAGAGUGCACCAGAUUCAACAGUGAACAGAACAUAAAAAUUCCAGCCCACUGUAAUUUAUAUUCUAGUAGAAUGAAUCCUGUCCUAAAAUUAAAAAAAGGGGGGUAUCCUUUCUUCUCACAGGGUAUUUGACAGUGCAAAGUAGCACCACAGUGAUUAUUUCCAUGGGAUGUCUCCGAUGUUUGAGCUGUGUGGCAGGCUAAAUAACAGCACCCCCUCCUCCAUAUGUCCAUGUCCUCGUCCCUGGAACCUGUGGAUCUUACUGUCUAUGGCAAAGGGUCUUUGUGGUGUAACUGAGUGUAAAAUCUUGCAACGGGGAGAUGAUCUUGGGUUAUCUGAAUGGGUCCAAUAAAAUCAGAGUGGUCCUUACAAGAGUGAUUCGGGAAGAGUCAAAGCCAGAGGAGAAGGUGUGCUGGUGGGUGCAGUGGGAGAGACGGGAAGGUCUGACAAUGCUUCACUGCCAGUUUGAACAUGGAGCCAAGGCCCUGAGCCAAGGCAGGUGGGAAGCCCCUAGGGCAGGAAAAGGCAAGGGGCCAGUCAGACUAACACCUCCAUAGCAGCCCAAUGACACUGACUCAAG
RNAcentral lists this long non-coding RNA (949 nucleotides) under Marmota monax (woodchuck). The record is from RNAcentral. Lineage: Eukaryota; Metazoa; Chordata; Mammalia; Rodentia; Sciuridae.